RNAcentral lists this ribosomal RNA (397 nucleotides) under uncultured bacterium. RNAcentral's name for it is "partial 16S ribosomal RNA". It matches the Rfam family "Bacterial small subunit ribosomal RNA", at positions 523 to 918 of the family's 1533-position model. The record is from RNAcentral.
AUACGUAGGGGGCGAGCGUUGUCCGGAAUGAUUGGGCGUAAAGGGCGCGUAGGCGGCCCGGUAAGUCUGGAGUGAAAGUCCUGCUUUUAAGGUGGGAAUUGCUUUGGAUACUGUCGGGCUUGAGUGCAGGAGAGGUAAGUGGAAUUCCCAGUGUAGCGGUGAAAUGCGUAGAGAUUGGGAGGAACACCAGUGGCGAAGGCGACUUACUGGACUGUAACUGACGCUGAGGCGCGAAAGUGUGGGGAGCAAACAGGAUUAGAUACCCUGGUAGUCCACACUGUAAACGAUGAAUGCUAGGUGUAGGGGGUAUCGACCCCUUCUGUGCCGCAGUAAACACAAUAAGCAUUCCGCCUGGGGAGUACGGCCGCAAGGUUGAAACUUAAAGGAAUUGGCGGGG